RNAcentral lists this long non-coding RNA (962 nucleotides) under Homo sapiens (human). Its description in RNAcentral is "novel transcript". The record is from RNAcentral. Lineage: Eukaryota; Metazoa; Chordata; Mammalia; Primates; Hominidae.
GUGGGAUGAGACAUGAAAGCCCUGUGAACAUCCUGUUCCCUGACAACCCUUCAGAGCUGGUUUCAGUGCCACUGCUGAAGCCUCUGGGAAACGUUGAUUACACUCACGGUGACGGUGGCAAUUUCUUGAAUUCCUUCUACAUUGACUGCCUGCGUUAUUCAGUGAAGCAGACAUGGCCUAUUCCCUACAUUUGCCCCUUGAAAAUGUUCAAUUUUAAUUUAAAAGAUUAAUACAGCCAGGAUAUUCUUUCAACAGGCAAAUAAAAACCGCAGUUUAAACUCUAAGUUUCAAUCAGAAACUAACAGCUCUUGGAUUUCCCAGGGCUCACACUCCUCUGAAACAACUCACGAAGAGCCUGAGGAAGCAGUUCUCACUGGAAAAUGCAAGAAAGUAUGUUCCGGUGAAGACCCUCAGCUCUGUUCAUUUUCAUGAUGCAAAUGCCCACAAAGGUGGUUUUGACCUGACUGACCCUGUGCAAGGAGGCACAGUCUCCUCACCAGCAUAAGCACGUGGCAUCAGAUGCGGAGACAGUUUUGGACGUGGAUGGAUGUUUACACACUGAGACUCCUUCAGUGUCCCUUCAAGAAAAUGUGGACACAAUGUCUCUGAAGCCUGUUAGUGACCAUAGAAUUAAUUUCACUAAUACCUUUCGGUCACCGACUCCUGAAAAGAGAACACGUGAAUAUCAUGAGUCCGUUGAAAAAAGACAGUAAGUGGGCUUGAAAAAACAGAAUAAAAGAAACACAAGUUUUCAUUUUGAUCAAGGUUAAAAGGAUGCAGUUAAGGAACAGCUGCCUUCCACCUGAAUGAGCCACUAGAUGCUAAAACACUUUUGCUUGUCUGUAAACAUGUGAAUACAAUUAGGUUUAUAUUACUUUGAAGAAACUAUUGUGUUAUCUAAAUUUGUAACGUCACAUUUGAGAGACUCAGUGAUUAAAAACAGCUAUUUUCACUGUAGUUAA